RNAcentral lists this ribosomal RNA (160 nucleotides) under Dioscorea polystachya (Chinese yam). RNAcentral describes it as "5.8S ribosomal RNA". It matches the Rfam family "5.8S ribosomal RNA". Rfam says of the family: 5.8S ribosomal RNA (5.8S rRNA) is a component of the large subunit of the eukaryotic ribosome. The record is from RNAcentral. Lineage: Eukaryota; Viridiplantae; Streptophyta; Magnoliopsida; Dioscoreales; Dioscoreaceae.
ACAACUUUCAACAACGGAUCUCUUGGUUCUGGCAUCGAUGAAGAACGCAGCGAAAUGCGGUAAGUAGUGUGAAUUGCAGAAUUCAGUGAAUCAUCGAAUCUUUGAACGCACAUUGCGCCCCUUGGUAUUCCAUGGGGCAUGCCUGUUCGAGCGUCAUUUG